GGGCGUUUUGAGGCUCAUUCCCCUAUGAAGGCCUGACGCUCGACAGCCUUCACACGGCAGGGGUCGCAGGUUCGAACCCUGCACCGCCCACCA
Molecule: transfer RNA, 93 nt
Filed under: Hydrogenophaga sp.
Lineage: Bacteria; Pseudomonadati; Pseudomonadota; Betaproteobacteria; Burkholderiales; Comamonadaceae
Description: tRNA-Ser
Source: RNAcentral